UGAGUAACGCGUAUCCAACCUGCCGUCUACUCUUGGACAGCCUUCUGAAAGGAAGAUUAAUACAAGAUGGCAUCAUGAGUCCGCAUGUUCACAUGAUUAAAGGUAUUCCGGUAGACGAUGGGGAUGCGUUCCAUUAGAUAGUAGGCGGGGUAACGGCCCACCUAGCCUUCGAUGGAUAGGGGUUCUGAGAGGAAGGUCCCCCACAUUGGAACUGAGACACGGUCCAA
RNAcentral lists this ribosomal RNA (227 nucleotides) under uncultured bacterium. RNAcentral describes it as "partial 16S ribosomal RNA". It matches the Rfam family "Bacterial small subunit ribosomal RNA", at positions 107 to 334 of the family's 1533-position model. The record is from RNAcentral.